RNAcentral lists this ribosomal RNA (270 nucleotides) under uncultured archaeon. Its description in RNAcentral is "partial 16S ribosomal RNA". It matches the Rfam family "Archaeal small subunit ribosomal RNA", at positions 477 to 747 of the family's 1478-position model. The record is from RNAcentral.
CAGCACCUCAAGUGGUCAGGAUGAUUAUUAGGCCUAAAGCAUCCGUAGCCGGCUCUGUAAGUUUUCGGUUAAAUCUGUACGCUCAACGUACAGGCUGCCGGGAAUACUGCAGAGCUAGGGAGUGGGAGAGGUAGACGGUACUCGGUAGGAAGGGGUAAAAUCCUUUGAUCUAUUGAUGACCACCUGUGGCGAAGGCGGUCUACCAGAACACGUCCGACGGUGAGGGAUGAAAGCUGGGGGAGCAAACCGGAUUAGAUACCCGAGUAGUCC